UACCAGCUCUCCGAGUGGUGUGGAUGUUUAUUGGGUCUAAAGCAUCCGUAGCUGGCCAAGCCAGUCCCUUGUUAAACCCACCGAAUUAAUCGUUGGAUUGCGGGGGAUACUGCUCGGCUAGGGGACGAGAGAGGCAGACGGUAUUUUCGGGGUAGGGGUGAAAUCCUAUAAUCCCGGGAAGACCACCAGUGGCGAAGGCUGUCUGCUAGAACGCGCCCGACGGUGAGGGAUGAAAGCUGGGGGAGCGAACCGGAUUAGAUACCCGGGUAGUCCCAGCUGUAAACGAUGCAGGCUAGGUGUUUGGGCGGCCACGUGCCGCUCUAGUGCCGCAGGGAAGCUGUUAAGCCUGCCACCUGGGGAGUACGGUCGCAAGAUUGAAACUUAAAUGAAUUGACGG
This 397-nucleotide ribosomal RNA is filed under the name uncultured archaeon. Its description in RNAcentral is "bacterial SSU rRNA". It matches the Rfam family "Archaeal small subunit ribosomal RNA", at positions 474 to 871 of the family's 1478-position model. The record is from RNAcentral.